AUUGAACGCUGGCGGCAGGCCUAACACAUGCAAGUCGAGCGGAUGAAGGGAGCUUGCUCCUAGAUUCAGCGGCGGACGGGUGAGUAAUGCCUAGGAAUCUGCCUGGUAGUGGGGGAUAACGUCCGGUAACGGGCGCUAAUACCGCAUACGUCCUGAGGGAGAAAGUGGGGGAUCUUCGGACCUCACGCUAUCAGAUGAGCCUAGGUCGGAUUAGCUAGUUGGUGGGGUAAAGGCCUACCAAGGCGACGAUCCGUAACUGGUCUGAGAGGAUGAUCAGUCACACUGGAACUGAGACACGGUCCAGACUCCUACGGGAGGCAGCAGUGGGGAAUAUUGGACAAUGGGCGAAAGCCUGAUCCAGCCAUGCCGCGUGUGUGAAGAAGGUCUUCGGAUUGUAAAGCACUUUAAGUUGGGAGGAAGGGCAGUAAGUUAAUACCUUGCUGUUUUGACGUUACCAACAGAAUAAGCACCGGCUAACUUCGUG
This 484-nucleotide ribosomal RNA is filed under the name uncultured bacterium. RNAcentral describes it as "partial 16S ribosomal RNA". It matches the Rfam family "Bacterial small subunit ribosomal RNA", at positions 30 to 507 of the family's 1533-position model. The record is from RNAcentral.